CUUGUUUCUUGUAAAAGAAUAAAAAAUUAAAAAAAAAAAAAAAAAACGGUCAAAAGUAUUGACCCCGCCUCUUCAAGAAGACCCACCGAGUCACCGGUUCAGGCCGAGUUACACCGAUUCGUAGCGAGUCAAUAGCAUAACCGAUCCAAUAAGUGAACCGGACCGACUUACCCACCGGUCCGAUCCGAGUUUUAAAACUAUGCUCGGUAGCAAUAGUCAUGACAUAUAAAUUCAUUUAGUGUUUUUCUUAAGCACACUACCACAAAUGUGUAACUUGGAUCAUGUCCUUCCCCUUUAUCUUUUCAAAUUCAUCAUAUCAAUUUGAAUUAUAAACACCAUUCUUAUAACAUGUUAUCCAACAAAGUAAAAUUACUUUUUCUUCGAUGCAAUUUUAUUGUGGCAUCGAGCAAAUUAAGUUUGGAUCCAACUUGCUCAAAAAAUUAUUGAAAAAAAAUAGAAAUUUUUUAAACAACUUACUCGGUAGCAAUAGUCAUGACAAUGUUCUCAUGUAGAGCAUUCCAGAAAAACUCAAAAUAUGAUGUUUGUUUACCUUCAACAAAUGUUUAAAGAACCAAGCGUCGAUAGUCAGACAUACUUUUAGCUAAGCAUAAGUACACCUCUCAACAUUUCCUCACAUAUGAAAUUCUCUUCCAAAAAAAAAAAAAAAGAAUGCUGAAAUUCGAAGUGAAACAUAAUAGUUUCAGUCUAAAGCUUUGUAUAUAUAAUAAUAGAGUCGAAAAAUCAUGGCAUAGCUAGAAUAUUGUAACCAAUUAAUUAGAACUUUUAUAUCAUUGAUCCCACCUACAUCCAAGAUCAAUCAACAAAUCAAUUGUCGAAAACAAAAUUUAUUAACUUUUUACUUACAUUUUAUGCCUUUUCAUCUUGUUCUUACUUUAUGAUACAUACAUAGUUGGUAUAUUUUUUUAAUAAAGGGGUGAAGGCAGGCUCACAGACACAAAAGUGAGGUUUUAUAAAUAAUGAAGUUAUGAAUAAAAUAAAUAAUUAAUUAAAUUAUAAAACUGGUUUGUUACAAAGCCACGUACGUCAGUAUCGUUUUGAAGGGAAAAAACCUUCCUUUACAUAGCUCCGUCCUCUAUAUAUCUUUUCCAAUAUAUAUGUUAAAUAAACCAAGAUUUAAUCUCCAUACUAAAAUUAAAACCACAAUAAUUACUAAAUUAGUUCUUCGUUGUCUUCAAUCUUCAUACUUGUUAGGC
This 1214-nucleotide long non-coding RNA is filed under the name Medicago truncatula (barrel medic). RNAcentral's name for it is "long non-coding RNA (MTRU_LNC002494)". Lineage: Eukaryota; Viridiplantae; Streptophyta; Magnoliopsida; Fabales; Fabaceae. The record is from RNAcentral.